RNAcentral lists this RNase P RNA (364 nucleotides) under Lachnospiraceae bacterium. RNAcentral describes it as "RNase P RNA component class A". It matches the Rfam family "Bacterial RNase P class A". Rfam says of the family: Ribonuclease P (RNase P) is a ubiquitous endoribonuclease, found in archaea, bacteria and eukarya as well as chloroplasts and mitochondria. The record is from RNAcentral. Lineage: Bacteria; Bacillati; Bacillota; Clostridia; Lachnospirales; Lachnospiraceae.
UAAGUAGAACAGAUGAUCGCGGCUGUACAGACGAAAGGGUACAGACGAGGAAAGUCCGGGCUCCAUAGGGCAGGAUGCCGGAUAACGUCCGGUGGAGGCGACUCCAAGGCCAGUGCAAUAGAAAUAAUACCGCCCGAAGUUUUGCGAAGCAAUACUCCGGGUAAGGGUGGAAUGGCAGUGUAAGAGACUACCGCCGUCACGGUAACGGGACGGGCUGUGUAAACCCCAUCCGGAGCAAGACCAAACAGAGAGCGACAGGCCGGCCCGGUCUGCUUUCAGGUAGGUCGCUGGAGGGUCUCGGCGACGAGACUCCUAGAUAGAUGAUCAUUCACGACAUAACCCGGCUUACCGUUCUGCUUAUUUG